UACGGAGGGUGCAAGCGUUAUCCGGAUUCACUGGGUUUAAAGGGUGCGUAGGCGGGCAGGUAAGUCCGUGGUGAAAUCUCUGAGCUUAACUCAGAAACUGCCAUGGAUACUAUUUGUCUUGAAUAUUGUGGAGGUAAGCGGAAUAUGUCAUGUAGCGGUGAAAUGCUUAGAUAUGACAUAGAACACCAAUUGCGAAGGCAGCUGACAAAACUGUAACUGACGCUGAGGCACGAAAGUGUGGGGAUCAAACAGG
Molecule: ribosomal RNA, 253 nt
Filed under: uncultured bacterium
Lineage: Bacteria
Description: partial 16S ribosomal RNA
Rfam family: Bacterial small subunit ribosomal RNA
Source: RNAcentral